CCUACGGGAGACAGCAGUGAGGAAUAUUGGUCAAUGGCCGGAAGGCUGAACCAGCCAAGCCGCGUGAAGGACGAAGGUGCCAAGCAUUGUAAACUUCUUUUGUCAAGGGACAAAAUCAGGCUCGAGAGCCUGACCGCGGGUACUUGAAGAAAAAGCCUCGUCUAACUCCGUUCCAGCAGCCGCGGUAAUACGGAGGAGCCGAGCGUUAUCCGGAUUUGUUGGGUUUAAAGGGAGCGUAGAUGGGGUGUUAAGUCAGGUGUGAAAGUUUGCGGCUCAACCGUAAAAUUGCAAUUGAUACUGGCAGUCUUGAGUUCAGUUGAGGUAGGCUGCAUUCGUGGUGUAGCGGUGAAAUGCUUAGAUAUCACGAAGAACUCCGAUUGCGACGGCAGCUUACUAAACUGCAACUGACAUUGAUGCUCGAAAGUGUGGGUAUCAAACAGGAUUAGCUACCCUAGUAGUC
This 460-nucleotide ribosomal RNA is filed under the name uncultured bacterium. RNAcentral's name for it is "partial 16S ribosomal RNA". It matches the Rfam family "Bacterial small subunit ribosomal RNA", at positions 338 to 795 of the family's 1533-position model. The record is from RNAcentral.